Long non-coding RNA from Peromyscus leucopus (white-footed mouse), 831 nucleotides. RefSeq lists it as uncharacterized. Lineage: Eukaryota; Metazoa; Chordata; Mammalia; Rodentia; Cricetidae. The transcript is spliced from 2 exons. The record is from RefSeq and is a predicted model, not a curated record.
GGUUUCCUCACACCCGUGUGCUGGUUCCUGAAAUACCUUCAAGGGCAUUCCCUCUGCUGCUAAGGGAAGAACAGGAAAAGGUGUGAUGAGCAGAGGAAGCAAAGCCCGAGGUCCAGCAGGAAGAGAAUUCUCCCUGAAGACAGAAUGUGGGUUUACAGAUGUUCUGUGAACUUAUCUACCCUAAGCACUGUCUCACUCGGAGGGCAGUGUGUCCCAGGAGCCUGAGGGUGGAGCUCACACAAAGGACCUGGAUGCUCAGACAAUAGCGCCUCCCUCCACACAGAGACAAGGAAGUCUGACCUGGGGAUGAGUCCAGGUAGUGGUGGGCAGAGAUACCUGGAGCUUACGGCCAUGGCUUUGCAUGGGCAGCAUGGUGUAAAGUGGUCGUCGCUAUAAUGCAAACCCUGAACAGCAAAGGCUGAACGGAGGAGCUCAGUGGAAGAGUACUUGCUUCCCAUACCCGAGGCCCUGGGUUCCAUCUCACCACCACCAACAACAACAAUAACAACAAACAGAGAAACAAUGGGAGAUGAAAAGGGAAAUCUGUUAGUGGAGAGCUCUGGGACGUUCACGUUCAGUUCACAGACUGAUUAACUGAGGGCUUCCCCCCCAGUACAGCCAGAAGUUCUAAGACACAGCUAAUACUUCCUGCUAAACAAACACGUGGUGACUCUGAGGAGGGGGUGGCGGGGGUGUGCUGUGGACAUGAGGUCUCCCGAUGUUGCCCAGACUGACCCCCCAAAUCCUAGACUGAAGCACUCCUCCUGCUUCAGCCUUCUGAGUAACUGGGGUGACAGAUGUGUGCCUCGUUAUUAAACAUAUUUGUAAGUA